RNAcentral lists this ribosomal RNA (459 nucleotides) under uncultured bacterium. RNAcentral's name for it is "partial 16S ribosomal RNA". It matches the Rfam family "Bacterial small subunit ribosomal RNA", at positions 338 to 795 of the family's 1533-position model. The record is from RNAcentral.
CCUACGGGUGGCAGCAGUGAGGAAUAUUGGUCAAUGGACGGGAGACUGAACCAGCCAAGCCGCGUGAGGGAUGAAGGUACAGAGUAUCGUAAACCUCUUUUGUCAGGGAACAAAGGCGGGGACGUGUCCCCGGAUGAGUGUACCUGAAGAAAAAGCAUCGGCUACCUCAGUGCCAGCAGCCGCGGUAAUACGGAGGAUGCGAGAGUUAUCCGGAUUGAUUGGGUUUAAAGGGUGCGCAGGCGGCCUGUUAAGUCAGCGUGCAAAGCACGGGGCGAAACCCCGGCCCGCCGUUGAAACUGGCAGUCUCGAGUUGGAGAGAAGUAUGCGGAAUGCGCGGUGUAGCGGUGAAAUGCAUAGAUAUCGCGCAGAACUCCGAUUGCGAAGGCAGCAUGCCGGCUCCACACUGACGCUGAGGCACGAAAGCGUGGGUAUCGAACAGGAUUAGAUACCCGAGUAGUC